RNAcentral lists this non-coding RNA (29 nucleotides) under Mus musculus (house mouse). The record is from RNAcentral. Lineage: Eukaryota; Metazoa; Chordata; Mammalia; Rodentia; Muridae.
UCACCACAGUGGGUUUCUACGUUGAGGGU